Tympanuchus pallidicinctus (lesser prairie-chicken) is the source of this 3097-nucleotide long non-coding RNA. RefSeq lists it as uncharacterized. NCBI's taxonomy places the organism in Eukaryota, Metazoa, Chordata, Aves, Galliformes, Phasianidae. The record is from RefSeq and is a predicted model, not a curated record. The transcript is spliced from 4 exons.
AGCCAUUGUGCUCAUGCAGUUUGAGCAAUAUUGGGUUUGUCCACUUUCUGCUCCAAACUAGAACAUCAGGGAUCUAUUCCCCACAAGGCUUGCUGGUCCUUUUUUUUCCUAAGCAAAUCUACUCUGUAUAGGAACAGAUCCAGGCUUCUGCUGUGAAAAGAAGCACUUGGCAUUUUCCUCCAGGAAUGACAUCCUACUGUGGAUGGUCUGCAAGUCUUCCCUAUGCUGCUGCUUUUCCUCUGAGAAUCGUAUUGCAGCUGCUGGCAAAGAGAAUAACAGGCUGUUUUUCUUGUGCAAUUCAACCAGUCCUUUUGAUCCUUUCAUGGGCCAGAUCUACAAAUGCAAUGAAUGGACUCUGCCAAGAGAAGGGUGCCUCCCCCUGAUUUCAUGUGCAUUCCUCAAGGUGAGCUGGAUAGAAAACAGCUGAUCAGAUUGGAGGACUUCAUGCAGCUGACAUUCAUUUGGAGCUGGACAAGGAGGUUUAUACAGAACACUGAGGUAUAUACAAAGUAGAGUCUCAUACCUACCAUUUUGAGGAGAGAAAGAAAGGGAGAAAGCUUAAACUAAAAUCUUCCUUCCUCUGCAACAGAGGAGACACUUAGUUUCCAUGCAGAAAUGAAGGCAAUGAUUUGCUUAGGCUUAUCUGUCAUUUUCUAAAUCUUUAUUAUGACACUGCUACUGUUUGAAGCAGAUAUUUCUUUGCAAAAUCCAUGCCAUUUUAUAUCAUAAGAACACAGCCAUUCUAUGUCAGAGCAAAAAAUGAUCUAUACUACUAUCCUGGUGUGACAGAGCUGAUACUAAAAAAAAAAAAAGUUUUAGAGCAUACAGUAAUAUUUAUUAUCUCAAUCUCCAGUGAUUUGCAGCUCAGAGACUUCCUUGACCACUGUUUUAUACUUGCAUUUAAUGCUUGUUGGUCAAGAGUUUUUUACCUCCUGACUUUAUUUAGUGCUAGGCAUGGCAGCACAGUGUUUGGCAUGCUGACCAUACCAUGGCAAUGAUUUCCAUAGCUCAAUGCAUCUUCUUUCGCUUGAACCUGAAAUGGGCUGUUUCAUUCUUUGCUUGUUUAAUGCCUCCACACUCAUUUUUUUUCAGAGUACUCCAGAUAACUGAAUCAGUGAAGCUUUUUGGGAAGGACAGUGAAGUACCUCAUGGAAAGUCUCAGGGACGCAGAAGGUUUGAGUACAGGGAAGAUGAACCAAGGGCUUUCAUAAGGCAGGGUAUCCCCAGGUAAUAAGCAUUGCAAUUGAGGAACAAGGACCUUGCACAGAAUAACAGAGAGACCAAAUCCCAUGAAUUCCAUGUCUGCACCAAGUAUUCAAGUAUAGUGAAUGCUGGGGAGAAGGAAAUUUGUCCAGGGCUGUAAAAAAUGGUGACAGCAUUUGGAAGACUUCCAAGAGAAAUGCAAGUACAGGAUAAUAUAUACUUAUUUAAGAUGUACUCCCAGUUCAGGUUUUGGGCAAACCUCUUUUUGCUGCAGGUGCAUGGUCGGUGAUCAGAAAGUUAAUGCAGCAAAGCACCUCUUAUUAUCUUUGGCUCUCUUAUUCUAACUGGCUGUCAUUCAGAGAAUAGGAAGCUUAACACUGCAUGGAGAAUUGUCCUCUCCACCUGUCAGUGAUUCAUUUCACACAUUCAGUCACUAGGGACUCUAAGAGAUUCUGGUUGUUUUUUUAUCCUGUCUCAAACUAGGACUUUCCGUCUGUAUUUUGUACUCACUUCCAAAUUAAUGCUCGUAGUCUGGGGGAGAUAAAAUCUUUAUUUGGAACCGAAGAUAUAUACAUUUGUUGUGUAUGAACCAAACAAUUUAUAGAUUUAAUUUUUUCAUGCAUGUUAUUAACCAUAUUAACACAAAUAAUCUUCAAGCAAGGUACAUACUUUUUCUAUAAUGUCUAAAGGAGAAAAAAAAAAGCAUAGAUUUUUUUAUACCCUCUCCCCAGUGGUGGUAUAAGCACAGAUUUCUUGUUUUUUUGACUGGCCAACCAAAGGUAGGACUAAGGAUUAAACCAAUGAUGUUACUUCUUUUGCCCACAGUACAUGAUGGACAACACUUUAUAACAACACUUUCUCUGAGAAAUCUUAGAGUGAGAAGAACAUCUUUGUUGACCUUGGUACAACUGAGAUCCUCAGGAAAUCUCAGUUCUGAGAAAGCAGGAGGUCUCCAAGCUGCAGGUAAGCAUUUUUUUUUUAAUGUUGUUUCCAACCCCUCCUAUUCAAGUUUCCUGUGUUGAUCAGAGGCUUUACUUAAUUUUUUUAACAGGAUUUGUAAAAGAGCAAAAUAUUUGGGAAUAAAGGUAAGAAGAGAAAGGUGGCUGAGAUCCAAAAUGAAAAGAAUAAUGUUAUUGGUGAGAAAGUAGUUGGAAAGGAAGAAAAAGAAGCAAUUCACUGUCUAAUUGAGAGAAUUAGACAGUAUCUAAGUGAGAGAAGGAGAGAACAGGAAUUUGAAUGGGGAAACAUCUAAAAGAUUUGAGGAAGGAGAAAUGGAGGUGAUAAGGUGUUAUGGACCCAGUAUACUGGAAGUGGAUUUAUUGGUGCACUAGCAGGGACUCGAAUGAAUAAAGCAUUGAAGAGAAAUGAGAAGGGGAAUAGGGCAGAAAAGGACAGAGAAUAGUCUUUAAAUAAAAGAAAGUCUGUCUCUGAAGUAAUAGGGAAGAGAAGCAAGGAAACAAAUAUUGAGGAAAGGCGGCUGGAAAAUGUAGAAAUUCAGAGACUGGCAUUUUACCCAGAGCCUGAGUUUGAUAAGAAUGGAGAUGAUACAUGAUGCCACAUAAAAGCCAAAACCCCAUAAAUGUUUAAGGAUCAGCACCCUAAAAGAAAGAGCUUAGGUCAGUGUGCCACAGGCACUGCUCUAGAGAAGAAAGUUAACUAAUAACUUAAAUAUAUGUCCAUAAUAUGUGUAAAAAAACACUGUUCUAUCAUGGGGAAUUUCCAUCUGAGUAUCUUGUACCGCUAGUCUCAUGCUGCCAGUAAUAAAAUGUCCUUGGAAUUUUUAAAUGUUACAGAUGACAGUUUCUUAAAUCAAAAUGUGCUGUAUCCAGCUCUGGGGACUUUUAUAUUAGACUAUAUCUUGACAGACAAAGAGGGAUUCAUUAGUAGACCAAGU